RNAcentral lists this ribosomal RNA (238 nucleotides) under uncultured bacterium. Its description in RNAcentral is "partial 16S ribosomal RNA". It matches the Rfam family "Bacterial small subunit ribosomal RNA", at positions 96 to 334 of the family's 1533-position model. The record is from RNAcentral.
UGGCGAACGGGUGAGUAACGCGUGAGGAACCUGCCUCAAAGAGGGGGACAACAGUUGGAACGACUGCUAAUACCGCAUAAGCCCACGGGUCGGCAUCGACCUGAGGGAAAGGAGCAAUCCGCUUUGAGAUGGCCUCGCGUCCGAUUAGCUAGUUGGUGGGGUAACGGCCCACCAAGGCGACGAUCGGUAGCCGGACUGAGAGGUUGAACGGCCACAUUGGGACUGAGACACGGCCCAG